UGGGGAAUUUUGGACAAUGGGCGAAAGCCUGAUCCAGCAAUGCCGCGUGUGUGAAGAAGGCCUUCGGGUUGUAAAGCACUUUUGUCCGGAAAGAAAUCCUUGGCUCUAAUACAGUCGGGGGAUGACGGUACCGGAAGAAUAAGCACCGGCUAACUACGUGCCAGCAGCCGCGGUAAUACGUAGGGUGCAAGCGUUAAUCGGAAUUACUGGGCGUAAAGCGUGCGCAGGCGGUUUGCUAAGACCGAUGUGAAUCCCCGGGCUCAACCUGGGAACUGCAUUGGUGACUGGCAGGCUAGAGUAUGGCAGAGGGGGGUAGAAUUCCACGUGUAGCAGUGAAAUGCGUAGAGAUGUGGAGGAAUACCGAUGGCGAAGGCAGCCCCCUGGGCCAAUACUGACGCUCAUGCACGAAAGCGUGGGGAGCAAACAGGAUUAGAUACCCUGGUAGUCCACGCCCUAAACGAUGUCAACUAGUUGUUGGGGAUUCAUUUCCUUAGUAACGUAGCUAACGCGUGAAGUUGACCGCCUGGGGAGUACGGUCG
RNAcentral lists this ribosomal RNA (539 nucleotides) under uncultured bacterium. Its description in RNAcentral is "partial 16S ribosomal RNA". It matches the Rfam family "Bacterial small subunit ribosomal RNA", at positions 355 to 888 of the family's 1533-position model. The record is from RNAcentral.